This 743-nucleotide unclassified non-coding RNA is filed under the name Hevea brasiliensis (rubber tree). The record is from RNAcentral. Lineage: Eukaryota; Viridiplantae; Streptophyta; Magnoliopsida; Malpighiales; Euphorbiaceae.
UGGAUUGCUCGUAUAUCCGGGACAAAUCCAGCUUAGCUCUUAUUGGGAAAGAUUGCGACUGUACAGCGGAAACUCUAAAAGGAAUAUAGUUUUGAACCAUGAAGGAAGCUUUCCAUAUAAUCCAGGGGGCAGCAAAAUGAGAGGGCUUGUCGUAUCCUUAUAGAUUAUAUAUUCAGCUACAUUUCCGUAUUUCUUGUCUGCUGAUUCCUCAAGCAAGGGAAUGCCACUAACGAAAAGCAGCAGCAACGUUAAGAACACUGGUCCAAGCACAACAAGCCAUUCAGCACCCUCCAGCACAGGCGUUGAUGCCACAAAUAUUCCCCACCAUAGAAAGAUCUCGCCAAAAUAGUUUGGAUGCCGUGAAUACUUCCAAAGUCCAACAUUGCACCACUUUCCUCUGUUCUCUGGGGAGUUUUUGAAUGUUAACUUUUGUUGGUCAGAAGCGAUCUCAACUGAUAUUCCGAUAGACCACAUAAUCCAACCAAUGAUGUCUACCGUCUGAACAGAUGGUUGGUGGUCACUUGCAUUAACAACUGUCACUGGUAAACUCACAGUCCACACCCAGAUUGCCUGAAAUAGCCAAAAUAUUGCCAGUUUCCCCAGAUUAUCACGCUUAUCAUCAAAACGUCUAUCCUCGCCCCAUUGUAAUAUCCUCAUUAAUAGAAAUAGCCCCAGUCGAAGGCCCCAUAUCACGACAAACACAGACAAAACCACCUGUCGAAAAUUCCAUGAACCUUUUAGUA